UACCAGCUCUCCGAGUUGUAGGGACGAUUAUUGGGCUUAAAGCGUCCGUAGCCGGCUUAGCAAGUCUCCUGUUAAAUUCAGCGACCCAAUCGUUGAGCCGCGGGAGAUACUACUAGGCUAGGAGGCGGGGGAGGUCGACGGUACUUUCGGGGUAGGGGUGAAAUCCUAUAAUCCCGGGAGGACCACCAGUGGCGAAGGCUGUCGACUAGAACGCGCUCGACGGUGAGGGACGAAAGCUGGGGGAGCGAACCGGAUUAGAUACCCGGGUAGUCCCAGCUGUAAACGAUGCGGGCUAGGUGUUGGGGUGGCUACGGGCCACUUCAGUGCCGCAGGAAAGCCAUUAAGCCCGCCGCCUGGGGAGUACGGCCGCAAGGCUGAAACUUAAAGGAAUUGGCGGGGGAGCACCACAAGGCGUGGAGCUUGCGGUUC
Molecule: ribosomal RNA, 429 nt
Filed under: uncultured archaeon
Lineage: Archaea
Description: bacterial SSU rRNA
Rfam family: Archaeal small subunit ribosomal RNA
Source: RNAcentral